UACGGGGGGAGCAAGCGUUGUUCGGAUUUACUGGGCGUAAAGGGCGCGUAGGCGGUCGUGACAAGUCACUUGUGAAAUCUCUGAGCUUAACUCAGAACGGCCAAGUGAUACUGCAGUACUAGAGUGCGGAAGGGGCAAUCGGAAUUCUUGGUGUAGCGGUGAAAUGCGUAGAUAUCAGGAGGAACACCGGUGGCGAAGGCGGGUCUCUGGGCCGAUAUUGACGCUGAGGAGCGAAAGCGUGGGGAGCGAACAGG
RNAcentral lists this ribosomal RNA (254 nucleotides) under uncultured bacterium. RNAcentral's name for it is "partial 16S ribosomal RNA". It matches the Rfam family "Bacterial small subunit ribosomal RNA", at positions 524 to 776 of the family's 1533-position model. The record is from RNAcentral.